Long non-coding RNA from Drosophila sulfurigaster albostrigata, 1339 nucleotides. RefSeq lists it as uncharacterized. The record is from RefSeq and is a predicted model, not a curated record. Lineage: Eukaryota; Metazoa; Arthropoda; Insecta; Diptera; Drosophilidae. The transcript has 2 exons.
UUAACUUUUUUGUAAAGUAUUAUUAUAUUAUUAACAUAUUUAUUUUAAAAAGAAAUAUUUAUAUUUCUAUGAAUUUCAACUGUUUUGUUGUCUAUAUACGCACAAGUGUGUUAAUUAGAAAUUAAUAUUAAAACUUUUAAGAGAUUCAGUGCAAACAAUUUCGGUAUCACCUGUUGCUUCAAAGCUACCUUGCGCAAUUGCAUAUUAAUGUUCCAAAGGUUAUACUGUCCAAUGCAAUUCACAAGCGAAAUAAGCUGAAUAGCACAGUCAAUACAAGGUCGCUAUUAAGAGACUGAGUAUGAGUAUAGAGCAAUACACUUGUAAUGCCAAUUUAGCGGCUAUUCGAAUAAAACAAUUGGAAGUAUUUCGUAUUAAGGCACGACCGACAGAAUAUAUAAAAUGUUCAGUUUUAAUUUAUUACUUCCACACUUUUACGAAAAAACCCGAAUCUGUGAUAUUGCCAAGAAAAAUACUUCUUUACAACACUUGCCAACUGAAAGAGGAAUUGUGAUAAACAUUGCAAACUGUAAAUAAAGAGCAGGUCGUCUGCUUAAUACCCUAUAAACAACUCUCAUUACCGCUUUGAAUUUCGCACAUAAAUAAUCACAGACGCCCGCAUGCAAAGAACUUGCUGCCAACGCACACUAGGUGGCGCCCGCUCACAGUAUUGAAUGAAUUUCGAUAAAUUAUUUGUUUACUCACUGAGCGACUCACCUGUUGAUAUUGAUCAAUGGAAAGAGCUUUAACAAACCUGUCAUAAAAUACAGGGUACAAGAGUUAUACUCAGUUGUGACGCGAAUGCGUGAGAGAAGAAUGAGAUAAAUAAACCACGACGCAGAGUAGCAAAAGUUAAAGAGCAACAAAACAAAAGGUAUUUAUAACACGACUGUGAAACACACUUUUAUAUACUAAGUGUAUGUGUGUGCAGACUUACAUAUGAGUAUGUAAGUAUUUAUUCGUCUGGUAGUCUGAAUGUAGACAUGUAUGUAAAGCUUUUAGGGGUUGAAAAGUGAAAGCACCUCCUCGCAGAGUAGCAGACUGUCUGGCUGCUAUUUUGCUUUUUUCUGAAUUGAAAAUUAUGCAAUUUGCAAACUGUACUCAGAAAUAAAUGAAAAUUGUUAACAAAUUAUAAACUUACCCGUUGCCGUUCAUUUUGUGCUUGAAUCGAUUGGGGUCCUGAUGAAAUUAAAUUAUUUUACUUUGUUUAUCUGCACUUCGUAGAACUCCACUGAACGCCACGCGGCGUCUUUAUUAUUUAUUUAUUUAAUGAUGAAAGAGCUGAAGUUGUAUUGAUUUUUUUUGCCUUGUUGGCGGCAACUGAAAUAAUAUUCGAGAUAUU